This 253-nucleotide unclassified non-coding RNA is filed under the name uncultured Kofleriaceae bacterium. RNAcentral's name for it is "contains 16S-23S intergenic spacer region". It matches the Rfam family "Bacterial small subunit ribosomal RNA", at positions 524 to 776 of the family's 1533-position model. The record is from RNAcentral. Lineage: Bacteria; Pseudomonadati; Myxococcota; Haliangiales; Kofleriaceae.
UACGGAGGGUGCAAACGUUGCUCGGAAUCAUUGGGCGUAAAGCGCACGUAGGCGGACUGCUAAGUCGGAUGUGAAAUCCCUCGGCUUAACCGAGGAAGUGCAUUCGAAACUGGCAGUCUUGAGUACGGAAGAGGGUCGCGGAAUUCCCGGUGUAGAGGUGAAAUUCGUAGAUAUCGGGAGGAACACCAGUGGCGAAGGCGGCGACCUGGGCCGAUACUGACGCUGAGGUGCGAAAGCGUGGGGAGCAAACAGG